Molecule: transfer RNA, 70 nt
Filed under: Dipodomys ordii (Ord's kangaroo rat)
Lineage: Eukaryota; Metazoa; Chordata; Mammalia; Rodentia; Heteromyidae
Rfam family: tRNA
About the family: Transfer RNA (tRNA) molecules are approximately 80 nucleotides in length.
Source: Rfam by way of RNAcentral
GGGAAUGUGGCUUAGUGGUAGAGUGCUUGCCUAGCAUGCAUGAAGUCCUGGGUUCAAUUCCCCAGUACCA